Molecule: ribosomal RNA, 482 nt
Filed under: uncultured bacterium
Lineage: Bacteria
Description: bacterial SSU rRNA
Rfam family: Bacterial small subunit ribosomal RNA
Source: RNAcentral
GAUCAUGGCUCAGGAUGAACGCUGGCGGCGUGCUUAACACAUGCAAGUCGAACGGACUUUUACAUGAAGCCUAGCGAAUGUAAAGUUAGUGGCGGACGGGUGAGUAACGCGUGGGUAACCUGCCAUAUGCUGGGGGACAACAGUUAGAAAUGACUGCUAAUACCGCAUAAGCGCACAGUAUCGCAUGAUACAGUGUGAAAAACUCCGGUGGCAUAUGAUGGACCCGCGUCUGAUUAGCUGGUUGGUGAGGUAACGGCUCACCAAGGCGACGAUCAGUAGCCGGCCUGAGAGGGUGAACGGCCACAUUGGGACUGAGACACGGCCCAAACUCCUACGGGAGGCAGCAGUGGGGAAUAUUGCACAAUGGGGGAAACCCUGAUGCAGCGACGCCGCGUGAGUGAAGAAGUAUUUCGGUAUGUAAAGCUCUAUCAGCAGGGAAGAAAAUGACGGUACCUGACUAAGAAGCCCCGGCUAACUACGUG